GGGGCAGGUUCGAAUCCUGCAGGUGUCGC
RNAcentral lists this unclassified non-coding RNA (29 nucleotides) under Dictyostelium discoideum. The record is from RNAcentral. Lineage: Eukaryota; Evosea; Eumycetozoa; Dictyosteliales; Dictyosteliaceae.